GUGUCAGCAGCCGCGGUAAUACGUAGGGUGCUAGCGUUGUUCGGAAUCAUUGGGCGUAAAGCGCGUGUAGGUGGUUAGGUAAGUCGGGUGUGAAAUCCCUGGGCUCAACCGAGGAAGUGCAUCCGAAACUCCCUAGCUAGAGGACGGUAGAGGAAGGUGGAAUUCCAAGUGUAGAGGUGAAAUUCGUAGAUAUUUGGAGGAAUACCGGUGGCGAAGGCGGCCUUCUGGGCCGUUCCUGACACUGAGACGCGAAAGCGUGGGUAGCAAACAGGAUUAGAUACCCUGGUAGUCC
RNAcentral lists this ribosomal RNA (292 nucleotides) under uncultured bacterium. RNAcentral describes it as "partial 16S ribosomal RNA". It matches the Rfam family "Bacterial small subunit ribosomal RNA", at positions 505 to 796 of the family's 1533-position model. The record is from RNAcentral.